This 508-nucleotide ribosomal RNA is filed under the name uncultured bacterium. RNAcentral describes it as "partial 16S ribosomal RNA". It matches the Rfam family "Bacterial small subunit ribosomal RNA", at positions 28 to 507 of the family's 1533-position model. The record is from RNAcentral.
GACGAACGCUGGCGGCGUGCCUAAUACAUGCAAGUCGAACGCUUCUUUCCUCCCGAGUGCUUGCACUCAAUUGGAAAGAGGAGUGGCGGACGGGUGAGUAACACGUGGGUAACCUACCCAUCAGAGGGGGAUAACACUUGGAAACAGGUGCUAAUACCGCAUAACAGUUUAUGCCGCAUGGCAUAAGAGUGAAAGGCGCUUUCGGGUGUCGUUGAUGGAUGGACCCGCGGUGCAUUAGCUAGUUGGUGAGGUAACGGCUCACCAAGGCCACGAUGCAUAGCCGACCUGAGAGGGUGAUAGGCCACACUGGGACUGAGACACGGCCCAGACUCCUACGGGAGGCAGCAGUAGGGAAUCUUCGGCAAUGGACGAAAGUCUGACCGAGCAACGCCGCGUGAGUGAAGAAGGUUUUCGGAUCGUAAAACUCUGUUGUUAGAGAAGAACAAGGACGUUAGUAACUGAACGUCCCCUGACGGUAUCUAACCAGAAAGCCACGGCUAACUACGUG